GACGAACGCUGGCGGCGUGCUUAACACAUGCAAGUCGAACGGAAAGGCCCCUUUGGGGGUCCUCGAGUGGCGAACGGGUGAGUAACACGUGAGUAACCUGCCCUUGACUUCGGGAUAACUUCAGGAAACUGGGGCUAAUACCGGAUAGGAAUCCUUGCUGCAUGGUGGGGGUUGGAAAGCUUCGGCGGUUUUGGAUGGACUCGCGGCUUAUCAGCUUGUUGGUGGGGUAGUGGCUUACCAAGGCUUUGACGGGUAGCCGGCCUGAGAGGGCGACCGGCCACAUUGGGACUGAGAUACGGCCCAGACGCCUACGGGAGGCAGCAGUGCGGAAUAUUGCACAAUGGGCGGAAGCCUGAUGCAGCAACGCCGCGUGCGGGAUGACGGCCUUCGGGUUGUAAACCGCUUUCAGCAGGGGCGAAGCUUGUGGUGACGGUACCUGCAGAAGAAGCACCGGCUAACUACGUG
RNAcentral lists this ribosomal RNA (465 nucleotides) under uncultured bacterium. RNAcentral describes it as "partial 16S ribosomal RNA". It matches the Rfam family "Bacterial small subunit ribosomal RNA", at positions 28 to 507 of the family's 1533-position model. The record is from RNAcentral.